UCCGAGUCUGCUGUAGAUUGCCAGCAAUGGCCCAGAUCUUAUUGCAUGAACUGCUUCAUUUCUUGAGGAAUUGAUAAAGGAACUGACAUUGUGAAAUCAUCAGCAAUUACCACUUUUGCAUUUACCAUGGAAACAAGAUUAUUUAUGAAGAACUGAAGAUGGUUGAGCCUAGGGCAUUCCUCUAUCAUUGCCCUGGGCUCAUAAUGAUGGACUUCCAUCAACUAAAACUAUUUUUUUUUACAAGACAGCUCUUUCGUAUGGACCGUGCUGUGAAGAACCCUGCAAUCUCAGCAAAAACAUCAUUCAUGCCACAAGCUAGCAUGUUCUACAUCAACCUUACUGAUCGAGAAUGGGAUAAGUGGGAAGUAACAGGCUGGAUUUACCCUGCGUUUUUUUUGGACCAGUAAAACUUGGGGAAUUUUCCACUGGUUGCCUAAAUGUGUGAGAUAACUUACCUAGUUUUGACCUCUGAUCUUCAGUUAUAGAUGGGAUGCCUCAGUCUUUGCAGUACCCACUGUUCUCAGCCUUUAUCACGUGGAUUACUUAAAUUGGUUGAAAAUUGGCUUCUGUGAUAGAUAGUGGGGAUAAAGCGAAGCCCUUCUAACUGGACAUAGUUACAACUAUUUCAGACUUUAAUUUGCACUCACUCACAGGUUCCUGUCAUCAUUCAUAAUUGUGAGGUACAGGGUCAAGGAAUAUUAUCAAUCCAUUAUCCGUUAUAAUGGAUUAUAUUACAAUCCAUUAUCAAUACAAGGUAAAUGGUAGGACACUGAGAAGUGCAGUAAAACAGAGGGAUCUGGGAAUACAGAUACAUAAUUCCCUAAAAGUGGUGUCACAGGCAGAUAGAGUCGUAAAGAAAGCUUUUGAUACAUUGGCCUUUAUAAAUCAAAGUAUUGAGUAUUGAGUAUAAGAGUUGGAAUAUUAUGGUGAGGUUGUAUAAGACAUUGGUAAGGCUGAAUUUAGAGUAUUGUUGUGCAGUUUUGGUCACCUAAGUACAGGAAGGAUAUUAAUGAGGUUGAAAGAGUGCAGAGAAGGUUUACAAGGAUGUUGCCGGGACUUGAGAAACUGAGUUACAGAGAAGGGGUGAAUAGGUUAGGACUUUAUUCCCUGAAGCGUAGAAGAAUGAGGGGAGAUUUGAUAGAGGUGUAUGAAAUUAUGAUGGGUAUAGAUAGAGUGAAUGCAAACAGGCUUUUUCCUCUGAGGCCAGGGGAGAAAAAAAACCAGAGGGCAUGGGUUAAGGGCGAAGGGGGAGAAGUUUAAAGGGAACAUUAAGGGGGAGGGCUUCUUCACACAAAGAGCGGUGGGAGUGUGGAAUGAGCUGCCAGUUGAAGUGGUAAAUGCAGGCUCACUUUUAACAUUUAAGAAAAACUUGGGCAGGUACAUCGAUGAGAGGGGUAUGGAGGGAUAUGGUCCAGGUGCAUGUCAGUGGGACUAGGCAGAAAAAUGGUUCAGCACAGCCAUGAAAGGCCAAAGGGCCUGUUUCUGUGCUGUAAUGUUCUAUGGUUCAUUGCCAGUACUUUGUAGGAACUACUCAAUUAGUUCCAAAACUCUGAGCAUUCCUCAGCCUUGUAUUUUAUAUCUUUAAAAUGUAUAUGAUUCUUUUCUAAAUGCCAUUUCAACAAUCCCAUUUAGGUACUAUUUCAUGAAAUGCAGUCCACAUCACAGAACUUACUGAAAAGCUUAUUUUAAGACACCUCUGGUUCUUUAGUCAAUUGUCUAGAAGUUGUUGCCCUUUGGUUACCAAUCCUCCAACAACAGAAAACAGUUUACUCUAAACUUCAUGAUUUUGAAGGCUAUUUCCAACUCAUUUUAUUUCUUUUUGCUCUCUGACUCCCAGCUGCUCCAGUCCUUCAGAAUAAACUGAACCCUAUAAUUGCUGAUAUCACUCCUGCAUAUUCCUACUGCAACUUCUCAAAGCCCUUAAUGUUCUUCCUAAAUUGUGACAUCUUUUAACAUUAAAAAUAUUUGGACAUUUACAAAAUGGAGAAGAUAACAGCAUCUGUUAAUCAUAAGUUGGAACAAUUUGAUUCAUACUGGGAAAAAUGGUUUAACUACGUAACACCUCAUAGGCCUGAUUUUAUUCUCACAAAUCAAUGAAUCUGUUGUAAAAAAAGGAUCACUCCUACUUGUACAUAGUUUUCUCCUUCUGCUUGUUCUUUCUUUCCUCUCUUUUCUUUAAGUGUAUAC
Long non-coding RNA from Hypanus sabinus (Atlantic stingray), 2187 nucleotides. RefSeq lists it as uncharacterized. The transcript is spliced from 3 exons. The record is from RefSeq and is a predicted model, not a curated record. Lineage: Eukaryota; Metazoa; Chordata; Chondrichthyes; Myliobatiformes; Dasyatidae.